This 497-nucleotide ribosomal RNA is filed under the name uncultured bacterium. RNAcentral's name for it is "partial 16S ribosomal RNA". It matches the Rfam family "Bacterial small subunit ribosomal RNA", at positions 29 to 507 of the family's 1533-position model. The record is from RNAcentral.
AACGAACGCUGGCGGCGUGCCUAAUACAUGCAAGUUGAGCGCUGAAGGUUGGUACUUGUACCAACUGGAUGAGCAGCGAACGGGUGAGUAACGCGUGGGGAAUCUGCCUUUGAGCGGGGGACAACAUUUGGAAACGAGUGCUAAUACCGCAUAAAAACUUUAAACACAAGUUUUAAGUUUGAAAGAUGCAAUUGCAUCACUCAAAGAUGAUCCCGCGUUGUAUUAGCUAGUUGGUGAGGUAAAGGCUCACCAAGGCGAUGAUACAUAGCCGACCUGAGAGGGUGAUCGGCCACAUUGGGACUGAGACACGGCCCAAACUCCUACGGGAGGCAGCAGUAGGGAAUCUUCGGCAAUGGACGAAAGUCUGACCGAGCAACGCCGCGUGAGUGAAGAAGGUUUUCGGAUCGUAAAACUCUGUUGGUAGAGAAGAACGUUGGUGAGAGUGGAAAGCUCAUCAAGUGACGGUAACUACCCAGAAAGGGACGGCUAACUACGUG